Transfer RNA from Smittium culicis, 82 nucleotides. It matches the Rfam family "tRNA". From Rfam's summary of the family: Transfer RNA (tRNA) molecules are approximately 80 nucleotides in length. Their secondary structure includes four short double-helical elements and three loops (D, anti-codon, and T loops). Further hydrogen bonds mediate the characteristic L-shaped molecular structure. tRNAs have two regions of fundamental functional importance: the anti-codon, which is responsible for specific mRNA codon recognition, and the 3' end, to which the tRNAs corresponding amino acid is attached (by aminoacyl-tRNA synthetases). tRNAs cope with the degeneracy of the genetic code in two manners: having more than one tRNA (with a specific anti-codon) for a particular amino acid; and 'wobble' base-pairing, i.e. permitting non-standard base-pairing at the 3rd anti-codon position. Lineage: Eukaryota; Fungi; Kickxellomycota; Harpellomycetes; Harpellales; Legeriomycetaceae. The record is from Rfam.
GGUGACUUGCCCGAGUGGUCCAAGGGGUCAGGUUUAGGCCCUGAUAUGGAAACAUGCGUGGGUUCGAACCCCACAGUCAUCA